ACUCCUACGGGAGGCAGCAGUGGGGAAUAUUGCACAAUGGGCGCAAGCCUGAUGCAGCCAUGCCGCGUGAAUGAUGAAGGCCUUAGGGUUGUAAAAUUCUUUCGCCAGGGAUGAUAAUGACAGUACCUGGUAAAGAAGCCCGGCUAACUUCGUGCCAGCAGCCGCGGUAAUACGAAGGGGGCUAGCGUUGUUCGGAAUUACUGGGCGUAAAGCGCACGUAGGCGGACUUUUAAGUCAGAUGUGAAAUCCCGAGGCUCAACCUCGGAACUGCAUUUGAAACUGGGAGUCUAGAGAUCAGGAGAGGUUAGCGGAAUACCGAGUGUAGAGGUGAAAUUCGUAGAUAUUCGGUGGAACACCAGUGGCGAAGGCGGCUAACUGGACUGAUACUGACGCUGAGGUGCGAAAGUGUGGGGAGCAAACAGGAUUAGAUACCCUGGUAGGAUAGCG
RNAcentral lists this ribosomal RNA (447 nucleotides) under uncultured bacterium. RNAcentral describes it as "bacterial SSU rRNA". It matches the Rfam family "Bacterial small subunit ribosomal RNA", at positions 335 to 799 of the family's 1533-position model. The record is from RNAcentral.